ACACAUGCAGUCGAGCGAGGAAAUUGCUUCGGUAAUUUCCUAGCGGCGGACGGGUGAGUAACACGUGGGCAACCUGCCUGAUAGAGGGGGAUAGCCUCCCGAAAGGGAGAUUAAUACCGCAUAAAGUCAAAUGAAGGCAUCUUCAAAUGACCAAAGGAGUAAUCCGCUAUCAGAUGGGCCCGCGGCGCAUUAGCUAGUUGGUGAGGUAACGGCUCACCAAGGCGACGAUGCGUAGCCGACCUGAGAGGGUGAUCGGCCACAUUAGGACUGAGACACGGCCCAGACUCCUACGGGAGGCAGCAGUGGGGAAUAUUGCACAAUGGGGGAAACCCUGAUGCAGCAACGCCGCGUGAGUGAUGAAGGCCUUCGGGUUGUAAAGCUCUGUCUUCAGGGACGAUAAUGACGGUACCUGAGGAGGAAGCCACGGCUAACUACGUGCCAGCAGCCGCGGUAAUACGUAGGUGGCAAGCGUUGUCCGGAUUUACUGGGCGUAAAGGGAGCGUAGGCGGAUACUUAAGUGGGAUGUGAAAUACCUGGGCUUAACUUGGGUGCUGCAUUCCAAACUGGGUGUCUAGAGUGUUGGAGAGGAAAGUGGAAUUCCUAGUGUAGCGGUGAAAUGCGUAGAGAUUAGGAAGAACACCAGUGGCGAAGGCGACUUUCUGGACAAUAACUGACGCUGAGGCUCGAAAGCGUGGGGAGCAAACAGGAUUAGAUACCCUGGUAGUCCACGCCGUAAACGAUGGGUACUAGGUGUAGGGGGUAUCGACUCCCCCUGUGCCGCCGUUAACACAAUAAGUACCCCGCCUGGGGAGUACGGUCGCAAGAUUAAAACUCAAAGGAAUUGACGGGGCCCGCACAAGCAGCGGAGCAUGUGGUUUAAUUCGAAGCAACGCGAAGAACCUUACCUAGACUUGACAUCUCCUGAAUUACUCUUAAUCGAGGAAGUUCUCCCUUCGGGA
This 959-nucleotide ribosomal RNA is filed under the name uncultured bacterium. Its description in RNAcentral is "bacterial SSU rRNA". It matches the Rfam family "Bacterial small subunit ribosomal RNA", at positions 51 to 1026 of the family's 1533-position model. The record is from RNAcentral.